RNAcentral lists this ribosomal RNA (795 nucleotides) under uncultured archaeon. RNAcentral describes it as "bacterial SSU rRNA". It matches the Rfam family "Archaeal small subunit ribosomal RNA", at positions 85 to 878 of the family's 1478-position model. The record is from RNAcentral.
ACUGCUCAGUAACACGUGGAUAACCUGCCCUUGGGUCCGGCAUAACCCCGGGAAACUGGGGAUAAUUCCGGAUAACGCAUAUGUGCUGGAAUGCUUUAUGCGUGAAAUGGAUUCGUCUGCCCAAGGAUGGGUCUGCGGCCUAUCAGGUAGUAGUGGGUGUAAUGGACCUACUAGCCAACAACGGGUACGGGUUGUGAGAGCAAGAGCCCGGAGAUGGAUUCUGAGACAUGAAUCCAGGCCCUACGGGGCGCAGCAGGCGCGAAAACUUUACAAUGCGGGAAACCGUGAUAAGGGGACACCGAGUGCCAGCAUCAUAUGCUGGCUGUCCAGGUGUGUAAAAUACACCUGUUAGCAAGGGCCGGGCAAGACCGGUGCCAGCCGCCGCGGUAACACCGGCGGCCCGAGUGGUGAUCGUGAUUAUUGGGUCUAAAGGGUCCGUAGCCGGUUUGGUCAGUCCUCCGGGAAAUCUGAUAGCUCAACUAUUAGGCUUUCGGGGGAUACUGCCAGACUUGGAACCGGGAGAGGUAAGAGGUACUACAGGGGUAGGAGUGAAAUCUUGUAAUCCCUGUGGGACCACCUGUGGCGAAGGCGUCUUACCAGAACGGGUUCGACGGUGAGGGACGAAAGCUGGGGGCACGAACCGGAUUAGAUACCCGGGUAGUCCCAGCCGUAAACGAUGCUCGCUAGGUGUCAGGCAUGGCGCGACCGUGUCUGGUGCCGCAGGGAAGCCGUGAAGCGAGCCACCUGGGAAGUACGGCCGCAAGGCUGAAACUUAAAGGAAUUGGCGGGGGAGCA